CUUAACCAACUGAGCCACCCAGGUGCCCUGGAGUGUGCUUUUUAAUCAUGGGGGACACAGGUGACAUCCGGAAUAAUCUGGCUCUGCCUUCCUGACACAGCCACUUGGACAUCUCAGUGUCUCAACCUACUGUAUCCAAAAGUGAAGUCUUGAUUUUCUGCUCUUCCCCUGCCUCGGUCACAUUUCCCCUCCCUGGCAUUUCGGACUCAAGGUGCCCCGCUAAUGUCCUACUCCGGACCAGAAUCCAACCCAAGAUCGCAGGUUGGGAUUCAUUUUGAAAUGUACUUCUCCCUCACCAUCUACAUUUAACCCAUCAUCAAGUUCCAUUGAUUUUUUCCGCCCGAAUACUUCUUCAAUCCAUACACUGAGCAAGCCCCUACAACAAGUCCCUAUCCCCAGUACCUGGAUGACUGAAGCGACCUCCUAAUUGGUCUCCCUCUUUUAGUCUCCCUCUAAUACAGAGGCCACAUAGUUUCUGUGUAAAGGGCUUGAUAGUAAAUAUUUUAGGUUUUUCUGGCCAUGCAAUCCCCAUUGCAAUUUACUCCACUCCGCCAUUGCAACGUGGAAGCAGCCAUAGACAAUAUGUAAACGAGUGGGUG
Molecule: long non-coding RNA, 599 nt
Organism: Lynx canadensis (Canada lynx)
Lineage: Eukaryota; Metazoa; Chordata; Mammalia; Carnivora; Felidae
Exons: 3
Source: RefSeq, a predicted model, not a curated record